RNAcentral lists this ribosomal RNA (362 nucleotides) under uncultured microorganism. RNAcentral's name for it is "bacterial SSU rRNA". It matches the Rfam family "Bacterial small subunit ribosomal RNA", at positions 9 to 365 of the family's 1533-position model. The record is from RNAcentral.
GAGUUUGAUCGUGGCUCAGAUUGAACGCUGGCGGCAUGCCUAACACAUGACAAGUCGGAACGGCAGCACUGGGAGCUUGCUCCCUGGUGGCGAGUGGCGGACGGGUGAGUAACGCGUAGGAAUCUGCCUCAUAGCGGGGGACAACUCGGGGAAACUCGAGCUAAUACCGCAUACUACUCGAGAGAGGAAAGCAGGGGACCUUCGGGCCUUGCACUAUGAGAUGAGCCUGCGUUGGAUUAGCUAGUUGGUAGGGUAAAGGCCUACCGAAGGCGACGAUCCAUAACUGGUUUGAGAGGAUGACCAGUCACACUGGGACUGAGACACGGCCCAGACUCCUACGGGAGGCAGCAGUGGGGAAUAUU